UGAGUACGAGCUGCUACGGCAGCGAAGUGGGUGAUGUCAAGCUUCCAAGAAAAGCCCUAUACCCGUUAAGGCAUGACGGCCUGUACCCGAAACCGACACAGGUGGGGUGGUAGAGAAUACCGAGGGGCGCGAGGUAACUCUCUCUAAGGAACUCGGCAAAAUGGCCCCGUAACUUCGGGAGAAGGGGUGCCACCGCAAGGUGGUCGCAGUGAAGAGGCCCAGGCGACUGUUUACCAAAAACACAGGUCUCCGCUAAGUCGCAAGACGAUGUAUGGGGGCUGACGCCUGCCCAGUGCCGGAAGGUUAAGGAAGCUGGUCAGCGUAAGCGAAGCUGGCGACUGAAGCCCCGGUGAACGGCGGCCGUAAUUAUAACGGUCCUAAGGUAGCGAAAUUCCUUGUCGGGUAAGUUCCGACCCGCACGAAAGGCGUAACGAUCUGGGCGCUGUCUCGGAGAGAGGCUCCGCGAAAUAGAAUUGUCUGUGAAGAUGCGGACUACGUGCACCCGGACAGAAAGACCCUAUGAAGCUUUACUGUAGCUUGGUAUUGUGCCCGGGCUCUGAAUGCGCAGGAUAGGUGGGAGGCUUUGAUCCAUUGCUUGUGGGUGAUGGUGAGCCAACGGUGAGAUACCACUCUUUCAGAGCUAGGGUUCUAACGGUCACCCGUCAUCCGGGGACCGGACAGUAUCAGGUGGGCAGUUUGACUGGGGCGGUCGCCUCCUAAAAGGUAACGGAGGCGCGCAAAGGUUCCCUCAGGCUGGUUGGAAAUCAGCCGACGAGUGUAAAGGCAGAAGGGAGCUUGACUGUGAGACCUACAAGUCGAACAGGGACGAAAGUCGGCCUUAGUGAUCCGACGGUUCUGUGUGGAAGGGCCGUCGCUCAACGGAUAAAAGUUACUCUAAGGAUAACAGGCUGAUCUCCCCCAAGAGUUCACAUCGACGGGGAGGUUUGUCACCUCGUCGGCUCAUCGCAACCUGGGGCUGAAGUCGGUCCCAAGGGUUGGGCUGUUCGCCCAUUAAAGCGGUACGCGAGCUGGGUUCAGAACGUCGUAAGACAGUUCGGUCCAUAUCCGGUGCAUGCGCAGGAAUAUUGAGAGGAUUUCUCCCUAGUACGAGAGGACCGGGAGGAACGCACCUCUGGUGUGCCAGUUACCGUGCCAACGGUAAACGCUGGGUAGCCAUGUGCGGAGAGGAUAACCGCUGAAAGCAUCUAAGUGGGAAGCCCACCUCAAGAUGAGUAUUCCCAUGGCGUUAGCCAGUAAGGUCACGGGAAGAACACCCGUUGAUAGGCUCUACGUGGAAGCCGGGUAACCGGUGAAGCGGAGGAGUACUAAUAGACCGAGGGCUUGACC
RNAcentral lists this ribosomal RNA (1347 nucleotides) under metagenome. RNAcentral describes it as "bacterial LSU rRNA". It matches the Rfam family "Bacterial large subunit ribosomal RNA", at positions 1564 to 2925 of the family's 2925-position model. The record is from RNAcentral.